GUGCUCGUUUCGGCAGCAUAUAUACUAAAAUUGGAACAAUGCAGAGAAGAUUAGUAUGGCCCUUGCACAUGGAUGACAUGCAUAUUUGUGAAGCGUUCCAUAUUUUU
Cervus hanglu yarkandensis (Yarkand deer) is the source of this 107-nucleotide small nuclear RNA. The record is from Ensembl. NCBI's taxonomy places the organism in Eukaryota, Metazoa, Chordata, Mammalia, Artiodactyla, Cervidae.